UUUUCCACGUCGUUCUUGGAAAACAAACCAAAACUAGGGGAGGUGAAAGAUCAGGGAGGAGCUGUCUUAAGCAGUGCCCUUCCUAAAGGCCCCACACCGAGAACUGGAGCCAAAAAGGGCAAAGGUAAGCGGUGCCCUGAGCGCGGUACCUCCCUGCGGGAGCUGGGCAGAGCUGGCUUGCAAGCAGGCAGUGAUGUCCAUGGCGAGGAAGGAGGCUGGUGGCAGGCACUGCAUCUCUCCCGUAGCCAGACGGACACCGGGAAGGCGGCUGCAGGCUUUGGAUUCCACAUCUCUUGCUUUUCCUGUCGCCUGGCUAAGUGUGCUGGUCACAGAUAGGAAACGAGACAGAUAGGGCAGUGAGCGAGUGGCACACGGCGGUGAGCAGCACAGAUAGAAACUAUUCUUGGUUAGCCGCUCAGUAGCAGUUCGUUUAGCAGCUGGGGAGUAAAGUUACUCAGGAAAGUCUGAAUCACUUUGAUCCAGCCAUCUGCAAAAACCUACGGUUACGCAUCCAGGAAGGCAGGUCUUUCGCAUCACACAAGAAAAAAAAAAAAAAAAGACAAUCCAACAACAGGAAAUUCUGCCUAACCCGUCCCUAAUUAAAAGAUCAUCACCCCGCCACGCUGCGUGACUCACUGAGAAGCCAGGAAGCGCUUACGGUGGCGAAGGCGGCCCGGGGGUGCCAGGGCAGGCCCAGGAUGGCAGUGGGGACCUGGGGGCCAUGCUGGGACCUUUGGGGCUGUGAUGGGACCCCCGGGGCCAUGCUGGGACCCCUGGGGCCGUGAUGGGACCCCCGGGGUCAUACUGGGACCCCCAUCCCUCAGGGGUGUUGUGGGACAAGCCAGGCCUGCGUAUAAUAAAAAUAUAAUAUGAAAUAAACGCUUUUAUUUGUAUUUGUCAUGGCGUAGUGCUUUCAGGCUUUAAGGAACACAUCCUUAUUCACGUCUGAUGUGAGACCGCGCGGCUCUUUUUAUUAUUUUAUUGAUUUUUAACAAACUGUCAGUGCAGCGAGGGGGGAAGGCGAAGCCUCCGGGGUCCCAGCAGCCCACACCCGGCGCCACCUCAGGGGCAGGGGCAGGGGCAGGGGCUGGGCUCCCCCCAUGCCCGCAGGGGAGCACCGGGGGGCGGCGGGGGCCGCUCCCUCAGCGGG
Molecule: long non-coding RNA, 1150 nt
Organism: Cygnus olor (mute swan)
Lineage: Eukaryota; Metazoa; Chordata; Aves; Anseriformes; Anatidae
Exons: 3
Source: RefSeq, a predicted model, not a curated record